AUGGCACGGCAGCAGGGGCCGGCGGCGCGGCGUCGUGGCGGCGUCCUCUGGCCUCUGCGCUCCUGUUUAGCGGCAGGCCGUAGCAGGCGAGCAGCGUCGCCUUCUCCCGUUCUUCCGCACACCCCUACAGCAACACCCCGACAGUUUAAUCUGGAUUCUGAAGCAAUGAGUACCUGCAAAAUGGCAACGGUGGAAGCUACAUCUGUUCCAGACAGACUGAGCAGUCUACCUCCAGAGAUAAAGGGCAACAUCCUCUCCCGUUUGAAUAUCGUAGAAGCGGUUAGGACUUGCACCUUAUCAAGUACAUGGAGGGAUGCAUGGACUGAUAUGCCAAAAAUAUCUCUUCGCGAUGGGAAAUUUACAUGA
RNAcentral lists this ribosomal RNA (366 nucleotides) under Triticum aestivum (bread wheat). RNAcentral's name for it is "partial small subunit ribosomal RNA". Lineage: Eukaryota; Viridiplantae; Streptophyta; Magnoliopsida; Poales; Poaceae. The record is from RNAcentral.